GUUAAGCACCUACGCCAUGCAAGUAAGUACGCCUAACUCGAACUAAGAGUCGGUCCACGUAAAGUAUCGGCCCCGGUCGAAAUACAAGGCCGUGUUUCUUACCAUCACGGCCAAUAGUUCGACCACGCCCGAACUGGGACUGAGGCUAAGUGCCACUACCAUCAAAUAAUGGCCACAAUUUGUUUACACCAAGUAAAAGAAAAAACAACAAACAAAAAAUGUGUGAAAGGCUAAGGCCAUCGUCGCCAACAGUCAACCUAGAUUCGACUAUGGUGAGUAAAUGACUCGACGACAAUCAAAAUCACCGACAUGUCUAAGGCCAUCAGUUCUAUCAUGGGCAAGGCCAUCGAUUACAUUAUGGCUAAGGCCAUUAUCGCCAUCGGUCGACCUAAGUUCGACUACGGUAAGAAAACGACUCGACGACAGUCCAAGUCGCUGACAUGGCUAAGGCCAUCAUCGCCAACGGUCGACCUAAGUUGGACUACGGUGAGAAAACGACUCAACGACCGUCCAAGUCGCCUAGAUGGCUAAGGCCAUCAGUUCUAUCAUGGCCAAGGCCAUCGAUUACAUUAUGGCUAAGGCCAUCAUCGCCAACGACCGACCUAAGUUUGACUACGGUAAGAAAGCAACUCGACGACAGUCAAAGUCGCCUACAGGUUUAAGGCCAUUAAUUAUAUUAUGGCUAACGUUGAGCCACCAACGGUCAAUCCAGAUUCGACUACGGUAAGUAAACGGCUCGACAACAGUCGAAGUCGCCUUUAUGGCUAGGACCAUCGACUCCAUCACGACUAAAGUUGUCAAUCUAAGUCCGACUAGGGCCAUCAAUGAUCAUGGUCAACCGAAAAUGCAACAAAAGGUUUAAGAAACGAAAGGAAAAACAGCAACAGCAAAAAGUCACAUUUCAUUAUCUCCAAAGGUACACAUACAUCUGGCCUUAGAAAAGGUCCCAUCUACAGAAAAAAUAUAUACAUAAAAGCCUUAAGAGCCUUCACCGCUCCUCCCAUCACGACCCGCCUGGUCGCCAUCCGGUCCAUUGCUGUCUCCAAGCUGAUAAGCCUUAGAAAUCCACGAACUGGAAUCCAAACUGUUGACGUCCUCAGAGUUAUAGCCCUCCCUACGAGGCGAGUCGAAGCAAUGACCGGCCGCUUCAUGAGCAACACAGGUUAAGUGUCAUUGCCUUUCAAUUUCCGCCUCGGAAGCUCAACCUGCCGCCAAAAACUCCUCAAAAACGACCAACCUGGCAUCAUGAUACACCCAAAUCUCAUGCGCAUCACGAUGCACAACAUCUUGUGGGGCAGUUUGCCUGAGAAAUUCAACUUCGACGGUCCUAGAAUCAAGCUCAGGUGCAAGGGCCGUGACCUGGGCCCGCAGUUUCGCAGCCUCCACCGCCACCUCACGGCUUAUCUCCAAGUCCUCCUCUUUUGACCAGCGGAGGGUCUCCAACUCGAUGUUUCGAGCCAAAGAAGCCAUCAGCUGCUCAUCAAUCUCCUUCAGCUCAGUCGUUCUCUUCUUCAAAAGAGCCUCUGAUUCCUCAAGGCCCUCACGGAACGUCCGGAACUAUGGGUCCUACUUAAGUACGCCCACCAAUGCCUGAUGCUUGGCACGAUCCUCUUUAUAUUUUUUGCCAUUUUUAUUGAAGGUGGCCGCCCUCUUUUGUUCAUGCCACCUCCUCUCCACCUCCAAGAUGAGGGUCUGAAAAAGAAGAGAAGAAACGUGUCAGUAUGUACCGAAAUCGUUUUUACGACUCAAACAAAAACUUGAAAGAUACAUG
RNAcentral lists this long non-coding RNA (1771 nucleotides) under Nicotiana benthamiana. Its description in RNAcentral is "long non-coding RNA (NBEN_LNC015751)". The record is from RNAcentral. Lineage: Eukaryota; Viridiplantae; Streptophyta; Magnoliopsida; Solanales; Solanaceae.